ACCCGCACAAGCGGUGGAUCAUGUUGUUAAUUCGAUGAUACGCGAAGAACCUUACCAGGUCUUGACAUCCCUUGCAAAGCUAUGGAGACAUAGUGGAGGUUAUCAAGGAGACAGGUGGUGCAUGGUUGUCGUCAGCUCGUGUCGUGAGAUGUUGGGUUAAGUCCCGCAACGAGCGCAACCCUUGUCUUUAGUUGCCAUCAUUCAGUUGGGCACUCUAAAGAGACUGCCGGUGUCAAACCGGAGGAAGGUGGGGAUGACGUCAAGUCCUCAUGGCCUUUAUGACCAGGGCUACACACGUACUACAAUGGCCGGUACAAAGGGCAGCCACUUAGCGAUAAGGAGCCAAUCCCGUAAAGCCGGUCUCAGUCCGGAUUGGAGUCUGCAACUCGACUCCAUGAAGUUGGAAUCGCUAGUAAUCGCAGAUCAGCACGCUGCGGUGAAUACGUUCCCGGGCCUU
This 457-nucleotide ribosomal RNA is filed under the name uncultured Desulfocapsa sp. Its description in RNAcentral is "bacterial SSU rRNA". It matches the Rfam family "Bacterial small subunit ribosomal RNA", at positions 919 to 1382 of the family's 1533-position model. The record is from RNAcentral. Lineage: Bacteria; Pseudomonadati; Thermodesulfobacteriota; Desulfobulbia; Desulfobulbales; Desulfocapsaceae.